Acanthosepion pharaonis is the source of this 100-nucleotide non-coding RNA. The record is from the annotation of a GenBank genome assembly. NCBI's taxonomy places the organism in Eukaryota, Metazoa, Mollusca, Cephalopoda, Sepiida, Sepiidae.
CGUUGGAACACCGGUUCUCGUACGAUCAGUGAAGUUAAGCAACGUUGGACCGGCUCAGUACAUAGAUGGGUGACCGCUUGAGAAAAUUAGGUGCUGCAAU